GAGCGGAUGACGGGAGCUUGCUCCCUGAUUUAGCGGCGGACGGGUGAGUAAUGCCUAGGAAUCUGCCUGGUAGUGGGGGAUAACGUUCCGAAAGGAACGCUAAUACCGCGUACGUCCUACGGGAGAAAGCAGGGGACCUUCGGGCCUUGCGCUAUCAUAUGAGCCUAGGUCGGAUUAGCUAGUUGGUGAGGUAAUGGCUCACCAAGGCGACGAUCCGUAACUGGUCUGAGAGGAUGAUCAGUCACACUGGAACUGAGACACGGUCCAGACUCCUACGGGAGGCAGCAGUGGGGAAUAUUGGACAAUGGGCGAAAGCCUGAUCCAGCCAUGCCGCGUGUGUGAAGAAGGUCUUCGGAUUGUAAAGCACUUUAAGUUGGGAGGAAGGGCAGUAAGUUAAUACCUUGCUGUUUUGACGUUACCGACAGAAUAAGCACCGGCUAACUUCGUGCCAGCAGCCGCGGUAAUACGAAGGGUGCAAGCGUUAAUCGGAAUUACUGGGCGUAAAGCGCGCGUAGGUGGUUCAUUAAGUUGGAUGUGAAAUCCCCGGGCUCAACCUGGGAACUGCAUCCAAAACUGGUGAGCUAGAGUACGGUAGAGGGUGGUGGAAUUUCCUGUGUAGCGGUGAAAUGCGUAGAUAUAGGAAGGAACACCAGUGGCGAAGGCGACCACCUGGACUGAUACUGACACUGAGGUGCGAAAGCGUGGGGAGCAAACAGGAUUAGAUACCCUGGUAGUCCACGCCGUAAACGAUGUCAACUAGCCGUUGGAAUCCUUGAGAUUUUAGUGGCGCAGCUAACGCAUUAAGUUGACCGCCUGGGGAGUACGGCCGCAAGGUUAAAACUCAAAUGAAUUGACGGGGG
RNAcentral lists this ribosomal RNA (860 nucleotides) under Pseudomonas oleovorans subsp. oleovorans. Its description in RNAcentral is "bacterial SSU rRNA". It matches the Rfam family "Bacterial small subunit ribosomal RNA", at positions 64 to 919 of the family's 1533-position model. Lineage: Bacteria; Pseudomonadati; Pseudomonadota; Gammaproteobacteria; Pseudomonadales; Pseudomonadaceae. The record is from RNAcentral.